AUUUCCGUUGAUUCAAUUACACAUGCAAAUUCCUUUUAUUAUUGUCCCUAUGUUCAACACAUACAUAGAUCUUAGGUUUUACAGCAGUCCCGUUUCAAUCAUAUUUAAGAGAUAUUACUGAACAAAAGUGUAGCCAUUUAUCAUUAUAUUCUCUUUUGCCAAAAUAUAUAGUUGAUCGUUGUGUAAUUAAAAUAUCUGCCUAUAAUACACAUCAAUUGAAUAGAAGCCAUUUAAAUGAAAUGGAAUGACACAAAGAUCCAACCCAAUUCAUACGUAACGUCCUGAUCAUAUGAUAUUUGAUUAUGAAUUCAUGUCAGUUUAUAAAUAGUAUACACUCAUCAUCGAAUACCUUAUCAUAUCUAAAGGGAAAUGUGAAUUCUUGCUCGUUGUUGGUUAAUACGAUAGAAAUUUUAAGGACAAAAAAUCAAGCAACGCGUUUUAAAGAUGCAGCAAAUA
RNAcentral lists this long non-coding RNA (456 nucleotides) under Mytilus galloprovincialis (Mediterranean mussel). Lineage: Eukaryota; Metazoa; Mollusca; Bivalvia; Mytilida; Mytilidae. The record is from RNAcentral.